RNAcentral lists this ribosomal RNA (444 nucleotides) under Triticum aestivum (bread wheat). Its description in RNAcentral is "partial small subunit ribosomal RNA". The record is from RNAcentral. Lineage: Eukaryota; Viridiplantae; Streptophyta; Magnoliopsida; Poales; Poaceae.
AUGGCACGCCUGAACUUUGGUGUCAUUACCCUGAUCCCCAAAAUAGUUGGGACGGAUAUCCGACACUUUAGGUCGAUUACGGUAAUUAAUGUCCUCAAGAGGAUUUUUGCAAAGGUUUGUGCGACACGACUAUCUCCUAUUGCAGAGCACCCCGCACACCCAUUCCAGUCUGUGUUCCUGAAGGGUCGCCGCAUCCACGAUGGAUCUUGGCCCUUCAUGAUUGUCCAUGAGGUUAGGAGAUGACGCCAUAGGGCCUUCUUCCUUAAGCUUGAUUUCCAAAAAGCUUAUGACUACCUCGACUAGUCCUUCUUGCGCUUGGUGCUUGAGUGUAGGGGGUUCAAUGACAGGUGGUGCUCUUGGAUCAUGCAGUUAGUACGGAGUGGUAGCACGGCGAUUAAUAUCAUUGGGGAGGUAGGUCCCUUCUUUAGGUCGUCCCGAGGGUGA